UUAUGCAGUGUGUUUUGGUUUUGACAUAAUAUUUUCAUGAAUGCACUACAUUCUAUGAAACAGGAUUUAAUAUUUUGUUUCAAUUCGCCUCUUCCAGCAGGGGUCCGGCAGAAAUCCAGCUGACCUGGAGCGCUUUUGGGCCGACCCAGCAAGACACAUGGGCUGAGUCGAAGCAGGGUCUUUGCAGACUGGCCUUUAGCUCUUUCUCAUUGAAAAUAGACUCCCACUGGUCUGCUUUUGGCUUUGAAAGGAUGUUCCUUUAUGUGCCUGGCCCCCCAUCCUACCACACCACAAUACUAUUAAUAAUGACACUGGACCAAUUUACAAACUCACAAAGGAACUGAGAUGCUACUCGGCGUCUCAGUAUGACUUUGGCAUGACAGCCUAUUGCUGAUGUUUUAAUAUCCUCAGAAAACAAUUUCUCAAAGCAAUGUUGCCAUCCACACAAAUUCGACGCUAAUAUUUUAAUAGUCGGAAGGAUGUGCCUGCCCUGUGGUUUAAGUGCAUUAAACUGGGAGGCAGCGAUUGUAUUGUUUUGAAUGCAUUUACUGUGAAUCCAGCAGUGACGUGCGGGUUGCAGAGCAAAAUUCAAUCAGUUGCUUGUGUGCACUAAUAACACCUGGUGAGGGGACAAGCAUCACGCUGAGGGCUUGCACUGAUCCCUGCCUGCACAAGGCUGCAAAUCAAAGCAUCAGAGGUGUUUCAUCUUUUCGCUGGAGUCUCCGGGGUUAAGACUGAAAGGAUGACACUUCAAUUUAUGGCUCCUCCAAUCUACAGCCACGAGCAGAUCCUCUCCCAGCAUCUACGAUCCAGACGCACAAGGGAGAAACCUUGACGAGGCGCAUGAGAGGAAAACCAGCACAUUUGGACACUCACCCACUUGCUCCCCUCCACUUGGCGACCAGAAUAGAAGCAGCAAAGCGACAUUGACGAGCCCACUGGGCCUGCAGGCUGACGUUAGCCCACCCUGGGAUGAGGCUGGUGAAGGACCACCCCAGCAGGCUGCUAAGCCCAGGGUGCAUCAGCCAAUUUAUGACACCCACCAUGGGGGAUUGCACUGUAAACACUUUAGAAAUCAAGUGUCGUCAUAGACCUGCUCCUUUGCUUCCUGCUUCUAUUCAAGUGUUUAUUUUUUGACUGUUUAUUAUACCAACAGAUUUAUUUGUCACUAUUAUUAGCAUGAUUGAUAUCCUGAAACAGUCACACUCCUUGUCUUGCAUACAUAUUAUUCCUGUGCCUUUUAUUUGGUCACUUGAAGCUUGAUAUAUAUCGAGAACGUGCAUCAUUUUUCUAAUUUUUCUGCAUUUGCGCAUUGCACAAAAAAACACGUCUCUGAAUUGUGUCUCCACCUUUAGCUCCCAGAAAACUGUGACAUUUUAUGAAUUAUUAUAAAUUAAAAACAAUCCCAUAAAGACAAUGUAUAUUUUAUCCACUGUAUGACAUGAUUGAUAUCUCAGAACGCUCAUUAUCACACACUGAUCAUGUUUAUGAUUGUUAUAUAUUGCAUUAUAGUCUAUAGAGGAUAAUUUACUCACACUGAAUUUACAUUUUAACAUUGCAUACAGUGCAACCUUUUAAACAAAUGUUAUAUCUUAAAAUGCACACUGGUCAACUGUAAAUAAGCUUAAUGUGAUGACAUGUAUACUUAAUCAAAUCAAAUCAAGUUUAUUCAUAAAGCACAUAUAAAAA
RNAcentral lists this long non-coding RNA (1689 nucleotides) under Cottoperca gobio. RNAcentral describes it as "lncRNA (ENSCGOG00000018506.1)". The record is from RNAcentral. Lineage: Eukaryota; Metazoa; Chordata; Actinopteri; Perciformes; Bovichtidae.